GAUGAACGCUGGCUACAGGCUUAACACAGGCAAGUCGAGGGGAAACGAUAGAGAAAGCUUGCUUUUUCUAGGCGUCGACCGGCGCACGGGUGAGUAACGCGUAUCCAACCUGCCCAUCACUUGGGGAUAACCUUGCGAAAGUAAGACUAAUACCCAAUGACGUCUCUAGAAGACAUCUGAAAGGGAUUAAAGAUUUAUAGGUGAUGGAUGGGGAUGCGUCUGAUUAGCUUGUUGGCGGGGUAACGGCACACCAAGGCGACGAUCAGUAGGGGAUCUGAGAGGAAGGUCCCCCACCUUGGAACUGAACCACGGUCCAAACUCCUACAGGAGGCUGCAGUGAGGAGUAGUGGAAGAUGGACGAGAGUGUGCACCAGCCAAGUAGCGUGCAGGAUGACGGCCCUAUGAGUUGUAAACUGCUUUUAUAAGGGAAUAAAGUGAGAGUCGUGACUCUUUUUGCAUGUACCUUAUGAAUAAGGACCGGCUAAUUCCGUGCCAGCCGCCGCAGUAA
RNAcentral lists this ribosomal RNA (508 nucleotides) under uncultured bacterium. RNAcentral's name for it is "partial 16S ribosomal RNA". It matches the Rfam family "Bacterial small subunit ribosomal RNA", at positions 28 to 523 of the family's 1533-position model. The record is from RNAcentral.